This 322-nucleotide ribosomal RNA is filed under the name uncultured eukaryote. RNAcentral describes it as "partial 18S ribosomal RNA". It matches the Rfam family "Eukaryotic small subunit ribosomal RNA", at positions 1470 to 1796 of the family's 1831-position model. The record is from RNAcentral.
CCCUUAGAUGUUCUGGGCCGCACGCGUGCUACACUGAGUGGAUCAGCGGGUCAGGUUGCGCGAAAGCGUUUCCUAAUCUUUAAAUCCGCUCGUGAUGGGGAUUGACGGUUGCAAUUUUCUGUCAUGAACGAGGAAUACCUUGUAAGCGCGGGUCAUCAUCCCGCGCUGAAUACGUCCCUGCCCUAUGUACACACCGCCCGUCGCUCCUACCGAUUGAGUGGUCCGGUGAGGCUUUGGGAUCUGAGCGGAAAGAGCGUUUCGCUGUUUCUGCUCGGAAAACUCAGUCGAACCUUAUCAUUUAGAGGAAGGAGAAGUCGUAACA